Molecule: ribosomal RNA, 253 nt
Filed under: uncultured bacterium
Lineage: Bacteria
Description: partial 16S ribosomal RNA
Rfam family: Bacterial small subunit ribosomal RNA
Source: RNAcentral
UACGUAGGGUGCGAGCGUUGUCCGGAAUUACUGGGCGUAAAGAGCUCGUAGGUGGUUUGUCGCGUUGUUCGUGAAAACUCACAACUCAAUUGUGGGCGUGCGGGCGAUACGGGCAGACUGGAGUACUGCAGGGGAGACUGGAAUUCCUGGUGUAGCGGUGGAAUGCGCAGAUAUCAGGAGGAACACCAGUGGCGAAGGCGGCUCACUGGCCCGAUACUGACGCUGAGGCACGAAAGCGUGGGGAGCAAACAGG